UGGGGAAUAUUGCGCAAUGGGCGGAAGCCUGACGCAGCGACGCCGCGUGGGGGAUGACGGCCUUCGGGUUGUAAACCUCUUUCAGCAGGGACGAAGCGGAAGUGACGGUACCUGCAGAAGAAGCACCGGCCAACUACGUGCCAGCAGCCGCGGUAAUACGUAGGGUGCAAGCGUUGUCCGGAAUUAUUGGGCGUAAAGAGCUCGUAGGCGGUUCGUCGCGUCGGAUGUGAAAACCUGAGGCUCAACCUCAGGCCUGCAGUCGAUACGGGCGGACUUGAGUACUGCAGGGGAGACUGGAAUUCCUGGUGUAGCGGUGAAAUGCGCAGAUAUCAGGAGGAACACCGGUGGCGAAGGCGGGUCUCUGGGCAGUAACUGACGCUGAGGAGCGAAAGCGUGGGGAGCGAACAGGAUUAGAUACCCUGGUA
Molecule: ribosomal RNA, 425 nt
Filed under: uncultured bacterium
Lineage: Bacteria
Description: bacterial SSU rRNA
Rfam family: Bacterial small subunit ribosomal RNA
Source: RNAcentral